This 591-nucleotide long non-coding RNA is filed under the name Homo sapiens (human). RNAcentral describes it as "non-protein coding lnc-ZBED5-1:10". The record is from RNAcentral. Lineage: Eukaryota; Metazoa; Chordata; Mammalia; Primates; Hominidae.
CCUUUUUAGACCACAGCUGUCACAUGUUUCUGACUCAACUUGCUUCUGCCAUGCCAGCGUCACCCCUGGUCUCAGGUGAUUUCUUAGGCUAAUUCUCAGAGAUGGGGUUAUUGGGCCAAAAAAGCAAACUAUGGCUUUCCGAAGCUCUCAUUGUUCCCAUUAUGUCAUGCAUCCCUGAGAUGCAGUCAGCAGAGGAUUCUAUUUGAGGGACUAAACACUCCCGGGGAAAGCAGGAAGAAGGAGACGGGAACUAACAUUUGCUAUUGAGCGCCAGGCAUCGUCCUACAGGCUUCGAAGUGAACCUUGGAUGUGCUGCUGAUCUGACCUGCCCAGAUUUGUCAUCAUUGUUAUUGUCUUGGCCUCUUAUGAAGACGUUCACCCAGCAGGACUUCAGAAGCUUUGUUCACUCGAUCUCAUUUAAUCCUCACAAUAGUGCCCUAAGGAAGAUAUUAGUAUCCCCAUUUUACAAAGGAGGAAACGGGAACCUGGGGAGAUUAAGCGAAGGCCUCACAGAUCAUGAAUAGAAGAGGCUGGAAACCUAGUCUGGUUCAAGGGUGUGCUCUUUCUGCUCUGCCAUGCUGUGCUUCAGCC